GCUGAAUACACACACACACACAGUCCGCUGAAUACACACACUGCUGAGUACACACACAGACUGCUGAAUACACACACACACAGACUGCUGAAUGCACGCACACACACAGACUGCUGAAUACACACACAAUCUGCAUUGAGGGGUGUAGUGUAUGUGUUUGUGUGUGGGGUGCUGUGUGUGUGCUGUGUGUGAGGGUUGCUGUGUGUGUGUGAGGGUUGCUGUGUGUGUCUGAGGGUUGCUGUGUGUGUGUGAGGGUUGCUGUGUGUGUGUGUGUGAGGGUUGCUGUGUGUGUGUGUGAGGGGUGUUGUGUGUGUGUAUGAGGGGUGCUGUGUGUGUGUGUGAGUGUGAGGGGUGUUGUGUGUGUAUGAGGGGUGUUGUGUGUGUAUGAGGGGUGCUGUGUGUGUGUAUGAGUGGUGCUGUGUGUGUGUGAGGGUGCUGUGUGUGUGUGUGUGUGUGUGUGUGAGGGGUGCUGUGUGUGUGUGUGUGUGUGUAUGAGAGGUGGUGUGUGUGUGUG
Pelobates cultripes (western spadefoot toad) is the source of this 514-nucleotide non-coding RNA. The record is from the annotation of a GenBank genome assembly. NCBI's taxonomy places the organism in Eukaryota, Metazoa, Chordata, Amphibia, Anura, Pelobatidae.